AUUGAACGCUGGCGGCAGGCCUAACACAUGCAAGUCGAACGGUAGCACAGAGAGCUUGCUCUCGGGUGACGAGUGGCGGACGGGUGAGUAAUGUCUGGGAAACUGCCCGAUGGAGGGGGAUAACUACUGGAAACGGUAGCUAAUACCGCAUAACGUCGCAAGACCAAAGUGGGGGACCUUCGGGCCUCACACCAUCGGAUGUGCCCAGAUGGGAUUAGCUAGUAGGUGGGGUAAUGGCUCACCUGGGCGACGAUCCCUAGCUGGUCUGUGAGGAUGCCCGGGCACAAGGAAACUGAGAAACGGACAAGACUCCUACGGGAGGCAGCAGUGGAGAAUAUUGGACAAUGGGGGGAACCAUGAUCCAGCCAUGCCGCGUGUGUGAAGAAGGCCUUAUGGUUAUAAAGCACUUUAAGCGAGGAGGAGGCUACUGAGACUAAUACUCUUGGAUAGUGGACGUUACUCGCAGAAUAAGCACCGGCUAACUCUGUGCCGGCCGCCGCCGUAA
This 505-nucleotide ribosomal RNA is filed under the name uncultured bacterium. Its description in RNAcentral is "partial 16S ribosomal RNA". It matches the Rfam family "Bacterial small subunit ribosomal RNA", at positions 30 to 523 of the family's 1533-position model. The record is from RNAcentral.